GCAGCAUUUCCCCAGUGUGUUCUGACAAGAAGCAAAGCCUUCAUGAAAACACCGCUCAGACUCCAGAGCCCGCCCGGUCUCUGCAGCGAGCAGAGCUUGUCAAUUAACGUGAACUGUGGAGAUGAUCCGAGAGACGGGGAUCCGCCUGCCGCAGCUCCCCGGAGCCCGUCAGGCUCGUUUUACACAGCCUAUUAGAACAGCUAUUAGACGGUGUCGAUUUUCCCUCACUCUUACAGCUGAACAAAUAAUGAGAAAAAUUAUAUGCAAACAUCCCCAUGACUCCUGUAUGAUUCUGCUUGAACUGCGUCUCCACAUUCGCAGUUUGAUUCUCGUGGAUUCCUGACAUUUUAAGGGAGGAGUCUGCUCUCAGCAUCCUCUCAGGACCACAAAACAAUCUGCAAUCAAGAAAGGAGGCUCAUUCAUCAAGCAAAUUGUUACUGGAAAUUGUCUUCCUCAGCUAUAAUCACACACCCAGGGCACUUGCAAACAGAGGAUGACCGAAAGGAGCCUGUUCCUUCCAGCACUUGCAAAUAGCUCCAGAAGAGUCAAGCACAGGAGGAGAUUUAAGGAUACAGCCUCAGCAGUAAUGGCCAUUUACCUCCUGACACAGCCAUGACCUGAUGGGGAACCCAGUGCACACAUGAGAGGACUCGAGCUGUAGCUCAAACCCAUCCGCUGCCAGAGCUUCCUACAUCAGACACGUGCAGUCCUUGAAAGAUGUCUUAUAUUUCAAUAUAAUAUAUUUCAAUAUUUCUUAUCGGCAGCAAGAGACAUUCCACUAUUGCCACCGAAGGGAAAUGUUACCUCCACGCUCACUGAAAUAAA
Molecule: non-coding RNA, 825 nt
Organism: Cyanistes caeruleus (blue tit)
Lineage: Eukaryota; Metazoa; Chordata; Aves; Passeriformes; Paridae
Source: RefSeq, a predicted model, not a curated record